Molecule: ribosomal RNA, 589 nt
Filed under: uncultured bacterium
Lineage: Bacteria
Description: bacterial SSU rRNA
Rfam family: Bacterial small subunit ribosomal RNA
Source: RNAcentral
AGAGUUUGAUCCUGGCUCAGGAUGAACGCUAGCGGCAGGCUUAAUACAUGCAAGUCGUGGGGCAGCAGGUCCGUAGCAAUACGGAUGCUGGCGACCGGCAAACGGGUGCGUAACACGUACGCAACCUUCCUUCAGGCGGGGAAUAGCCCGGGGAAACCCGGAUUAAUACCCCAUAAUAUCUUGAGAUGGCAUCAUCUUAUUAUUAAAGCUUCGGCACCUGAUGAUGGGCGUGCGGCUGAUUAGGUAGUUGGCGGGGUAACGGCCCACCAAGCCUACGAUCAGUAGCUGAUGUGAGAGCAUGAUCAGCCACACGGGCACUGAGACACGGGCCCGACUCCUACGGGAGGCAGCAGUAAGGAAUAUUGGUCAAUGGACGAAAGUCUGAACCAGCCAUGCCGCGUGGAGGAUGAAGGUCCUCUGGAUUGUAAACUUCUUUUAUUUGGGACGAAAAAGGGAAAUUCUUUUCCACUUGACGGUACCAGAUGAAUAAGCACCGGCUAACUCCGUGCCAGCAGCCGCGGUAAUACGGAGGGUGCAAGCGUUAUCCGGAUUCACUGGGUUUAAAGGGUGCGUAGGCGGAUAGGUAAGU